RNAcentral lists this ribosomal RNA (490 nucleotides) under uncultured bacterium. RNAcentral's name for it is "partial 16S ribosomal RNA". It matches the Rfam family "Bacterial small subunit ribosomal RNA", at positions 30 to 507 of the family's 1533-position model. The record is from RNAcentral.
AUUGAACGCUGGCGGCAGGCCUAACACAUGCAAGUCGAACGGUAACAGGAAGAAGCUUGCUUCUUUGCUGACGAGUGGCGGACGGGUGAGUAAUGUCUGGGAAACUGCCUGAUGGAGGGGGAUAACUACUGGAAACGGUAGCUAAUACCGCAUAACGUCGCAAGACCAAAGAGGGGGACCUUCGGGCCUCUUGCCAUCGGAUGUGCCCAGAUGGGAUUAGCUAGUAGGUGGGGUAAGGGCUCACCUAGGCGACGAUCUCUAGCUGGUCUGAGAGGAUGACGAGCCACACUGGAACUUAAACACGGUCCAGACUCCUACGGGAGGCAGCAGUGGGGAAUAUUACACAAUGGUCGCAAGCCUUAUGCAGCCAUGCCGCGUGUAUGAAGAAGGCCUUCGGGUUGUAAAGUACUUUCACCGGGGAGGAAGAAAUUAAAGUUAAUACCUUGCCUCAUUGACGUUACCCACAAAAGAAGCACCGGCUAACUCCGUG